RNAcentral lists this ribosomal RNA (419 nucleotides) under Pseudomonas sp. enrichment culture clone TTGE_BC_84. Its description in RNAcentral is "bacterial SSU rRNA". It matches the Rfam family "Bacterial small subunit ribosomal RNA", at positions 976 to 1394 of the family's 1533-position model. The record is from RNAcentral. Lineage: Bacteria; Pseudomonadati; Pseudomonadota; Gammaproteobacteria; Pseudomonadales; Pseudomonadaceae.
UUGUCUUGACAUCCUGCGAACUUGGUAGAGAUACCUUGGUGCCUUCGGGAGCGCAGUGACAGGUGCUGCAUGGCCGUCGUCAGCUCGUGUCGUGAGAUGUUGGGUUAAGUCCCGUAACGAGCGCAACCCUUGUCCUUAGUUGCCAGCGGUCCGGCCGGGAACUCUAGGGAGACUGCCGGUGACAAACCGGAGGAAGGUGGGGAUGACGUCAGGUCAUCAUGGCCCUUACGGCCAGGGCUACACACGUGCUACAAUGGGGCGCACAGAGGGCAGCAAGCGCGCGAGUGCAAGCGAAUCCCUUAAAACGCCUCGUAGUCCGGAUCGGAGUCUGCAACUCGACUCCGUGAAGUCGGAAUCGCUAGUAAUCGCAGAUCAGAAUGCUGCGGUGAAUACGUUCCCGGGUCUUGUAACACACCGAA